RNAcentral lists this ribosomal RNA (464 nucleotides) under uncultured bacterium. Its description in RNAcentral is "partial 16S ribosomal RNA". It matches the Rfam family "Bacterial small subunit ribosomal RNA", at positions 338 to 795 of the family's 1533-position model. The record is from RNAcentral.
CCUACGGGAGGCAGCAGUGGGGAAUCUUCCGCAAUGGGCGAAAGCCUGACGGAGCAACGCCGCGUGAUCGAAUGAAGGCCUUCGGGUUGUAAAGAUCUGUUGACAGGGACGAAUAAGCAAUGCGAAUAGUUUUGUGUAUGACGGUACCUGUUUAGAAAGCUCCGGCUAACUACGUGCCAGCAGCCGCGGUAAUACGUAUGGUGCAAGCGUUAUCCGGAUUUACUGGGUGUAAAGGGAGCGCAGGCGGCACGGCAAGCCUGAUGUGAAAGCCCGCGGCCCAACCGCGGGACUGCAUUGGGAACUACCGGGCUGGAGUGCCGGAGAGGUAGGCGGAAUUCCUAGUGUAGCGGUGAAAUGCGUAGAUAUUAGGAGGAACACCAGUGGCGAAGGCGGCCUACUGGACGGUGACUGACGCUGAGGCUCGAAAGCGUGGGGAGCAAACAGGAUUAGAUACCCUUGUAGUC